AACAUCUUUUUUAUGGAGCUUGGGUUUCUGCCCUGUGAAUUGUAAGGAAAUAAAUUUCUGUUAUUUACCCUAAGUGGCUUUUUUUUUUUUCCCUUAACAGAGGCCCUCACAAACGAAUCCGUGUUUGGCCAUCCAACUUCACACAAGAGAAUGAAGUGGACGUGGUCAUACUCCCAACAGUCCUUGCGUGUUCUACUUAUGCUCCUGCCCUUCUGUGGUCACCGUGACAACGUGCUUGGGUCAGGCUGCAAGUGGCACAGAGCCAAGGCACUCCAGUCUGAAUGGAGACUAUCCAGGCUUGGUCUAGGUCACUGAACAGCCAGCCCUGAGAGAUAUAAACCUAGCCAAGGUCAGGAGAGCCACUGUGAUGAGAUCUGCUGACUACAUCAGCCUUAUUUCUGAAUGACUGAUAUUAACACAAUUGUCUAUGAUGAGGAUAGUUACACUACAGGAAUGGGAAGAUGCUACAAAUCCCUAUCACCCCAGAGCCAAUGAGAACGCAUUAAUCAGCACAUCACGAACUGAUGGUAAACGAGAUGACAGUGUCUGUCAGCAGCUGAGGACUCACUUUGUGGCCUGCUAACUGUCAUCUUCCCAUGAAAGAGAAACAGUGAAAGCCAGGUCUGGCGCCGGAAAAGUACCAGCCAAGCCUGAAACUCUCAGUCGCCUGGAAAGCAAGGGCACACAUGGAUCCUGAAGGCAUCUCAAAAGGUUUCUGAAGACAAUUUGUGGUCAAGCACACACCUCACAGGCACCACACAAUAGCACAGAUGCCCCCCCCCCCCAUGGCACUAGAAAAUAUCUUGAACACCAGAGAAUGAUGCCUCUUCUUGGACCUCAGUUUUUCAACAGGAGCUGUUAAAGCUUCAGUCUGGUAAGAUGACAGGAGCUAGGGACCAGCUGCACCACACUGUCUCUAUAGUUAAUAAUAUUGUGGGCACCCACGAUUUUAGUAUAAAGCAAACAACCAAUACAAGACUCUGAUAAACUAAAAUGAAAUGGAAUAAACCAUGGGGCUGCUCUGUGUCCUCCAGACCCUUGGAACGCAGGAUAUGCAAAGGCACGGGCUCUGUCACUUCCCUGAGCUGCACAGAUUUGCAGAGCACCUACUCUGCUAAGGUGCCACACAGACACAGACCAGGUUUUUGGAUUUGCAUGCACUAAGACUGCCCAUUCUAGGUCUGUCAAGCCUGGGUUUCCCACCAACACUGCCACUCUUCUGUGCCUAUCAGCCACGAAAGAUGAGAACAACGUAAUAUUCAGGAGGAGAUUGGAUCGACACACCAUGCAACUACUUUCCAAUGCACUAAUAAUGGCCCCACACUGCAUGAAUCUCAAGGACAUAAUGUUGGAUAAAAAAUGCAGACUGAAAAGGAGAUGCACAGUGGGUGCCAUUGGUACAGAUUCCGAAGACACACAGAACAGUGCUGCGGAUCAAAAUGAAUGCAGAUGUGUGUGGUCCGUGCAUCAGCACACACGUGUGUUCCAAGCAUCAGCACACACGUGUGGUCCCAGCAUCAGCACACACGUGUGGUCCGAGCAUCAGCACACAUGUGUAGUCUGAGCAUCAUCAGCACACGCAUGUAGUCUAAGCAUCUGCACACACGUGUGGUCCCAGCAUCAGCACACACGUGUGAUCCGAGCAUCAGCACACACGUGUGGUCCCAGCAUCAGCACACACAUGUGGUCCGAGCAUCAGCACACAUGUGUAGUCCGAGCAUCAGUACAUGUAUGUGGUCAGAGUGGUAAGUGCCAGCAUCCUCUCUGGGGAGGUGGAAGAGGAAGGGGCACUGAGUUCAGCUGUCAUCUAUUCUGUGAAAGCAGUGAGGAGAGGGGCUAGAAGAUAGAUAUGGCCAGGCCAGUACAAGCUCAGUGUGGGUGACCACAAGACCAUGGGUACUUAUUAUAUUAGUUUCUCCUCAUUUGCGCUUUAUUCUGCAACAGGAAAGCAUUGAAAAGAAUUAAAGAAAAAUGUAAAAAAGGUAGGUGACAUUUCCUACCAGGCCGAGCAUUCCCUGUAGGUACUGGGGUGA
Long non-coding RNA from Mus musculus (house mouse), 2033 nucleotides. RefSeq annotates it as predicted gene, 39938. The record is from RefSeq and is a predicted model, not a curated record. NCBI's taxonomy places the organism in Eukaryota, Metazoa, Chordata, Mammalia, Rodentia, Muridae. The transcript has 5 exons.